GCGGUAAUACCAGCUCUCCGAGUGGUAGGGAUGUUUAUUGGGCUUAAAGCGUCCGUAGCUGGCUCAACAAGUCCUCCGUUAAAUCCAGCGAUUUAAUCGUUGGACUGCGGGGGAUACUGUUGGGCUGGGGGACGGGAGAGGCCGACGGUAUUCUCGGAGUAGGGGUGAAAUCCUAUAAUUCCGG
This 184-nucleotide ribosomal RNA is filed under the name uncultured archaeon. Its description in RNAcentral is "partial 16S ribosomal RNA". It matches the Rfam family "Archaeal small subunit ribosomal RNA", at positions 467 to 651 of the family's 1478-position model. The record is from RNAcentral.